This is a non-coding RNA of Acanthosepion pharaonis, 111 nucleotides long. NCBI's taxonomy places the organism in Eukaryota, Metazoa, Mollusca, Cephalopoda, Sepiida, Sepiidae. The record is from the annotation of a GenBank genome assembly.
CAGCCACAUCACGUUGAAAGACCAGUUCCCCUACGUUCACUGAAGUUCAGCAACAUCGAGCAUGGUUACUACCAAGAUGGGUGACCACUUUGGAAUAGUAGGUGCUGUAAG